Molecule: ribosomal RNA, 254 nt
Filed under: uncultured bacterium
Lineage: Bacteria
Description: partial 16S ribosomal RNA
Rfam family: Bacterial small subunit ribosomal RNA
Source: RNAcentral
UACGUAGGGGGCAAGCGUUGUCCGGAAUCAUUGGGCGUAAAGCGCGUGUAGGCGGGUCGGUAAGUCCGCUCUGAAAGCCCGGGGCUCAACCCCGGGAGGCGGGUGGAUACUGUCGACCUCGAGUCCGGAAGAGGCGAGUGGAAUUCCUGGUGUAGCGGUGAAAUGCGUAGAUAUCGGGAGGAACACCUGUGGCGAAAGCGGCUCACUGGACCACAACUGACGCUGAGGCGCGAAAAGCUAGGGGAGCAAACAGG